Molecule: long non-coding RNA, 1253 nt
Filed under: Dromaius novaehollandiae (emu)
Lineage: Eukaryota; Metazoa; Chordata; Aves; Casuariiformes; Dromaiidae
Description: lncRNA (ENSDNVG00000008626.1)
Source: RNAcentral
CUCAAAUCCAGAUAAAUGGCAACUUGCUUCUGGCAGACUUCGAGUUCCUGCAUUCCCAGUAGAACAUUCCCUUCUGUGUCCUUAAGCACCUCAUYCUGGGCUGGAAUUUAGUAUAUAGAGAAAUUCAUCUUGACUACAUCAAAAUACCUCUGUUAGCUCCUUGUUUCAYUGCAGAACCGGGAGUUGUUCAGCUGCAGUAUUGAAGAUUCAGGCAGUUACCUGAAUUCUUCCAAGCCCCUCUUACAUCAUUGYCUCUGGAUACAGAAGAAAAUUGGUGUCUAUUUUAGAGACCCCAUAUGCCCUAGCAUAUUAAAAAGUACUGUUGGUGUGACAGAGCACCAGGCAUAUGUCUUCCAAAGCAGAUCAGCCAGCCCUAGGUCAUUUUAGCCUGUGUCCUUCAUUAACUGUUGUUUGUGGGCUGGGUUUUUAUUUGCCCGUUUCUCUGUGUGUUAUGAGAAUAGCUGAUAUCUCAGGCCCAUUUCGGUAUGUGUCUGGCUCUCUAUUCAACCAUCCAGAUGUUUUUUACCAUAGGCAUUUUACAAAAACCUGAAACAAAUAAAUACACAGUCCUAUCCCUUCACCUCUCCUGGGAUUAAAUAUUCCCAGUGUGUUAUUAAGGCUGAUGCAUAUUUUCUUUCUCUUAAACAGCAGCGGCAGCGCACAUUCACGCAGAUGCCAUUGCAGUCUCCUACAGCCCAGUGCCUUGAGAACCACGGCCGUAACCCAGCCUGGAGCCUGCAUCCUUCCUCCUGGGGACCCUGCCCCAGCGAACUGCUCACCAGCUGGUGGAAGGGGCCCACGGGCCAGCAGUAAAACUGCCGUGCUGCCAUCCUCAGCCAGGCUGGACGUGCAGCACGCGAAGAAUCACAGCCAUCUAUCUGACAGUUCAGCCUGAAGAAGAUAAAAGAGAUCUCUCAUCAUGAACUAAAAGCACUGGAGCAAUAUACGUCAUGUUCAGUCUGGAAGGCUUGCGUUUCUCCUGCAGUCUGACGAUGCAGCUUGUUCUCCGGCGGCAAUCCUCACGCCCCUGUUCCUGUGGGAUGGCUGGGGCGGCAGUCGGACGCUCACUGGGACCUCGCGUGCUUCGGGAGCUGCUGGAAGAGGCUCUUUCCCCCUGCUGCUGUUCUGACUCAGGGAGGCUGGAGCCUGGCCUGAUAGACGUACUCCUACAGCUCUGCAGUAUUUCUGCUCCUSGUUGCGAACAGAGAAAUGUCGUUGGACUCCUGUCUGCCAAGGCUCUUUGGAAGGGCUAA